RNAcentral lists this unclassified non-coding RNA (253 nucleotides) under uncultured Caulobacteraceae bacterium. RNAcentral's name for it is "contains 16S-23S intergenic spacer region". It matches the Rfam family "Bacterial small subunit ribosomal RNA", at positions 524 to 776 of the family's 1533-position model. Lineage: Bacteria; Pseudomonadati; Pseudomonadota; Alphaproteobacteria; Caulobacterales; Caulobacteraceae. The record is from RNAcentral.
UACGUAGGGGGCUAGCGUUGCUCGGAAUUACUGGGCGUAAAGGGCGCGUAGGCGGAUCGUUAAGUCAGGGGUGAAAUCCCGGGGCUCAACCUCGGAAUUGCCCUUGAUACUGGCGAUCUUGAGUAUGAGAGAGGUAUGUGGAACUCCGAGUGUAGAGGUGAAAUUCGUAGAUAUUCGGAAGAACACCAGUGGCGAAGGCGACAUACUGGCUCAUUACUGACGCUGAGGCGCGAAAGCGUGGGGAGCAAACAGG